CCCCACCCCUCCCAAGCUGGGACCGGGGACCAACGCUUCCACUCUGCGCCUCCUACGAGCUCUCCUCGGGCCUUUAUACGGCCGUUCUGGCGUCACGUGGAGCCCACCGCAGCCCCAGCGGGGACCGAGAGGGGCUCCCAGCCCUGCACGGGUCCCCUCGGGGAUGCUUUCGAGGAAAGGUGCUGCCCGCUCCCCCAAGCCUUCCUUCCCGCCUCCCCCUCUCCCCCCGCUCUACGGCUGCAGGGAGCCCUCUGCCCCCGGGCUGAGCCCUCAGACCUCCCGGUGUGUGUGUGUCGGGGGGGUAGGGGGGGGACGAAGGGAGUGAUUUUGGGGUCCCAGUCCUCCCUUUCUCCACUUGCUCACGUCACCGACACGUCACCGAGAGACAGCACCCUGCCUGGAAAGCCGCCUUCCCGAGGGCUCCCGCGGGGCCUCUGCCGCCCGGCAGGUGCAAGGAGCGGAGCUGGGACCUGUGGCGACUCAGCCCUCUUCCCAAAGCUGCAGAUCCGUGCCCCUUCCCAGGGCAAAGCGUUGUGGCCACCCGGGCGCGGGGCUGGUGACACAGACGAGACCACCGCAUUUUCCCCAUCUGUACUUCGAGCCGCGCUCACACGGGUUUUCCUUUCGAGCCUCUGCGUUCCCGAGGGCUCCCUCUCCCCCGGGAGGUGGGAUGCCGGUUUGAGAGGAAGGGGAUAGUGGAAAAAGGAUGUUCCAAAAUCCUUCGGGUACCACUUGGGAACCCGAGGGGUCCGGGAGCCGGUAACGGGCUGCUGCCCUGUUCCACCAACUGCAAUUUCAGUCCUCGCAUCCGGGGGGCUGGCGGUGCCCCCCUCCAAAAGCUGCGCUCAGCAGUGUGAGAAUCUGUGGUGAUGGAUUGCCGCUCUCUGCUGUUAACAGGUGCGAGCAUUUGGUGAUAAAAUCUCCAGCACUAAUACCGGGGAGCCGGGCCAAACAGCUGCGCGGCCCCGCUUCCAAAUGCCGCUCACAAUAAUUACUCAAAUCCUAACGAUCAAACCCUAACGACUCCGUGCAUCGGGCCGGUACCGGCUGGGUACCGCAUCCCAGCACGGAGCCGAGCGCAUCCUCCGCCCUCGCAGUCAGCGCUGCGCUCGGGAAGGAUUCAUCGAACGGAAGGAAAAGUCGGUGCAGAACGGGGCUGAGCGCUUCUCUCGAAGCUGCCAGAGAUUUCGACCACACACACAACGGGCGAUUGAAUUUCCACUCGGUGCGAUCCGAGGCAGAAAGGAACCGCCGGGAGCUGCGCGUUGUUACUCUGCAGGGGAGGGCUGUGAACGGCGAAACGAGAGGGGACGGCGGGCACGGAGAGCACCGGGCACAGUGGGCACCGGGCACCGGGAGCACCGGGCACAGUGGGCACCGCCGCGGCUCUCGGCUGCCCCCAAAGCGCCGCGCCCCGAGUUUGGCACCGCCCGCAAAAACGGCGGAGGAGCCCCGGUGCCUCUUCGCUUUUGUCACGCAAAAUCGACCGCGGAAACCAAAUUAAAACGAGAAAAAGUACCUAAAAAGCAGCCGUCUUGAAAUUAGGAAAGGGAAAGCCUGGGCUGAUAUGAAGCAGCCGCUGGGAUCCCGGGCACCCAGCCGACCCUACGGGCGCUCAUUGCUCCGAGUGCGGAACGCUGCGGUGUCCCGAAACAGCAACCCUACAGAUCGACCCCAAAAAGGUCGUCAGCACUGCACGGUCCCCACGCGUGCAGCGGUGGGAGUGAUGCCUUACGCCUUGUGCCUUCUUUUCCUUCGGCAGAUUAUUAAUUUUUUCUGCUCUCCUCUUUGAAAUAUUUUGUGACGGACGGCCCUUGCCGUCCCCUGUUUUAAUCCUAAUUCUCUCGCGUCUCACGUUAAGCUGUGCUAUCAGAAGCGCCUGGGGUCGAAAGCUGCCCGGUCCUUAAGUCUCAAUAGGGAAACUGGAACAGCCGAAACACUCCGAACUGCGUUUAUUGUCUCCUAUUAAUAGACUUUCACUGCCUUUCCCUCCUGCUCUAACGCAGCCCCCGUGGGCAGGUUGCUCCUCGCAGUGUCCCCUGGGCUGCCGGUCCCCCCUCCCGGGGUCAUCUCUGAACCCCCACCGGCUGCCAAACGGUUUUUUUUUACCCACGAGGCAAAGCUCGUUCCUUGCCUUCCCCCCCCUUCUAUUUGCCGGCUACAAGGAGACAAAUACAUCAGCGCGGCUGCGAGAAGUCCCCGUCCCGGCCGGAGCGGCCCCCCCAUAGUGGGAUUUAACGAAGCAAAGCCCUGAUCCUAUACUCUGCUUGGGAAGGGCAGCAUCGGGCCCCGCAGCCUCGCCCUGCUGUCUUGGGCAUUGCGGGGCUUCGGGUCCUUCCAGAGGGGCUGUUGGCUCUGCAAGACUUAAUCAUUGCUGUUUCCUCGGCAGGGCAACAUCCAAAUUCAUUUAUUUUGACGUGAAGAGCAUCUCCAAGUCCCCUAAGGCUCAGCGACGGAUUUUUCUGUAUUACCUCGUUAUCAGGCUUGGCUGACCUCUCACUUCUCUCAAAACAUGACCAAGACAGACCUGCUGCUGCCCGGGCUGCCCCAGGGGGCUCUUUUUCCACUUAUGUGAUUUCCUUUGAUAUUAUUUCUCUCCUUUCCAUAGCCAAGGCUCAGACCUUCGCUGCUCCCUGCAGCACAGCCAUUAUUCCCAGCCCCGUAACGUCGAGGUGAGGUGGCAGCUGCUCCCCAGCAGCUCCCAGCACGGGGAGAUGGGUGGGAAUGGCCAGGUGAUGCCAAGUGACCCCAAUUCCCACUUCAGGGAGCACUGAUGCCAAAAGCUUCCGUCCACCCCUGCAGCACUCAGAUGUUCACACACCUUUGUUACGUGCUGGGAUCUGAGUUUAGGACCUCGGCUUUGGACUUGGAGUUCAACAGCUUAAUCUGCUGCUCUUUUUUCAUUACUGAUCCCAUCCCACACGGACCUGAAGCCCACCAGGCAAGCUCGUAACACCCAACUGAUUAACUCUGACUUGGUGUAAGCUUUUCUUUGCACACCGUUCUUCAGCAAUCCGACAUGAAAAGGGAUGGAUACACAAACUUCCAUGACUCAGAGGAGCGCAGCGAUUUCGAGCCAUAAAGCACCAGGUGCACUUUUGAGACUCACCAAAUCCAGCUCUCCUGGUUGCCAUAAAAAGCACAUUAGCCAAAGGCUGAUGCAUGUGAAAGGUAAUUAUGCUCUGGCACAUGGCAGCACGCACAGAACAGCCUGGUGACGGUGCCUACCGCACAAGGAAAAAUAUCCCUGUGAAAACAAGCCUGCUAAAUCAUUUCAUUCUUCCCUCAAUCCCCUGAAAAUAGUAGGGAGGAUUUUUCUGGGGGGUGGGGAUCCAUAUGGGAAGGAAUCACAUUUCCCAAAAGUGGGCACACCAGUGCAAGACCAUAUGGACAGAUUCACAUGGCUGUAGUAAACUGUGAUGAGGUCUUGUAGUCCAGGUUUCUGUGUUAGCAUUUUGUCAUCCCAAAUGUGCCCAGGAAACUGAUUAUUAUUAUUAUUUUUCCUUCUUUCUGGAUGUUCUUUGUACAUGGGAGUAUCCAGCAGUCCUCAUACAGAGAUGAGGUUGGGACAAAUCUUGUACAAGGUCAGUCCUGCAAAUACGCACUGGUACCUACAGAUCUGCCUGCAAACAAGUUUGUAGAUACAUUUUGCUCUUGGCUUCAGAUAAGAUGACGUCAGCUGGCAACUAUAACACUGCUACUGCACAGGUUUGAUUUCCUCUAUUCCCAUGUUGGGAAGGAGCUGAAUAAACAGGGAAAAAGUCUGAAGUCUGCAAAGGGAGGUGAAGCAUCUCACCAGAGGCCAUGCAGAGCAGCAGAGCCCAGUAUCUUAACCCCAUCCCCUUAUCCAGCAAAUGACAGCCAGGCAGAAAGGAGGCUGUGCAGCUGGUGGACAUUUUAUCAGAUGCAAACAAGUGAAAAUACCAAGGCAGGAAGCACUGGAACAGGGCUGAAGCUGCACAGUGGUCAAACUCAGCUCCAGUGCUCCCAGCACACAGCUGUGGGUGACAAUGCCCCACUGUGUCCCCAACUCAUUAUAGUGUCACCCUACAGUCUGGCACUGCAGGGAGCAGUUCUCCAUUUUUAUAACAUAGGUGCACAAUAGGUAAAAUGAACACACAAGAAAUCCAUCCCUGGCAGCUCCAGAUCAUUGUGAACAUCCCCUGCGCUUUUCUUCACACCACCAAAAGAAAUUGCUGUCCUAAGCUGAACAGAGGAUGAGAGAGGGAAAGCUGUUAACAUGCAGAAGCUGCACUGAGGGCUGCUGAAGGAAGGCUGAUGCUUCACAUCUGGCUUUACGCUUCUUGAAAAGACCUGAUUUCUGCUCAGCAUCACCCAGCCAACCGCAUCCCACUAACCCACAGCCUAGAUGUCAACUUACAAUUGCGUUAGAAGAGGGCAGAAAGCAUCAGGGUAAAACAUCCCACUGAAAAUACAUCACUUGGGUCCAGCAGGGCAAUGGCUGAGCUGCAGGUGGGGAUGGGAGUGGGAUGAGGGUUAAAUGCUCUUUGUCCCCAGGACCAGCCGCAGGCUCAGGACCCCACUGCAGAGCAGGCUGUGGGCUGCCAGCAACACUUGCUGUGCAGAGAUAAGCGUGCCAUCUAGAGGAAAUCCCCUUCAUCACCAGGACUGGCAGCUGAAAAUUAUCCAAUAAAGGAUAAUUAACCCCUGGCUCCGGAGAAAAUCCUCCAGCCUGCUCUGAGGUGCUUGCACAGGCACGCUGUGAGGGGCUGGUGAUGUGCUGAGGUAUCACAGCAAGUGCUCCAGGGCCACAACUAGGAUGUCCACUUCCCCUGGCAUGGGCAUUUGGAUGGAAAGGUGGAGAAGGAAAUGUGUUCUUCCCACACCCCAUGCACCUGCCUGCCUCUGGGGGAGGUACAAAGUGGGCACAUAACACAGUGUCUGUAUCAUAUAAUGUGCUCCAGUGCAGCCAGCAGUGGUCCCAAACCCAAGAGUGAACAUGGUUGCUAUGGGCACUCUUGCCACCAGCAUCUCUGGAUCUGGGAGUUGCAAUGAGAGUCCAUGGGGGCAGCAGCAGCAUGGGUCUUGCACCCUCCUAUAGUCAGGGUCAGCCCCACCAAACACUUGUAUCCCAAGCACACAAAUCCAUCCAGCCCUAAAGAUAACUGAAAAACAGUGAUCUAGAUCCAAGCAUGGGGACAGAUGCUUCUGCCCACUGGGAGGCUGUCUUACGUAAAUGUGAAAAAGUAAAAAUAAAUUAAUUAUAAAAAAAAAGCAAUUUUGCCUUGCAAAACAUGUUCAGGGACAGAGAAGGAGCAGGGAAGGUCUCACAUGAGGGAAACCUUAUUCUGCAGGAAAAGCAGGUGCAUGCUCAUGCAAAAAGCACCUGGAGAGGAGGAGCUGUGUGGCACUGAGUUGCUCAUGUGCUGUUUCCUGCACCUUUCCUGCCUACACUGCUCCUGACCUCCCAAGUGUUGGUGCCCCCAUGCAGAGACAGAUUUGGGUGUCCCCUGGCUUGAAGUAGGUACCUCUGAGCACUGCAUCAUGCUGGAAGCUCGUGCACUUCAUAAGUCUUGUAUUUCCUAUCACUGCAGAGAGGAACCUCGUCGUAAUAAAAAUCUGGGCUCCAAUCCUACAAACACUUAUGCCUGAGCUUAACUCUAAGCACGUGAGCCGUCAAAGGGGACCAUUCAUGUGCUUAAAAUUUAAGCAUGUGCUUAAGCGUUUGCAAGCCUGGAGUCCAUCAGCGUGGGGAUUUGUGCACUAAGCCCAUAUUCUGAGUCAUUAUCCUUUUCAUGUCUUCUCCGGUAUUUCAGAAGAUGCUUCAAAGAGGAAUUUUCAAGUUCUUCAAUAAACUUUGCCUUCCCGAGCAGCCGGGAUUCCUGCCUAUUCUAUGGGGCAAUUCUCCUGCCCUGCAUCCCCUCCCCCUGUCCGCGAUAAUCCGGUGCUAUUUCAUGCUUGGCCAGACAAUUAAGCCCUCUUGCUGCUUGGCUCUGUCUUUGUUAUGUAUAAUUGUUCCAAAUAAUUAGCCACUAUUGCACGCUAUUCUGAAACGACUUUGUAUUGCAAUUAUACUUAGAUGGUGAGCAUCAGUUGAGGGAGAAUCCAAGCAGCAGACAGCCCAGAAAGACAGGGCUGGCUGAGAUGCUGCUUGGAGCUGCACUGUGGCGGUGGGUUCUUGUCCAGGUGUCACCUGGCUGCCACCUCGUGGGUGCUGCCCACAGUGCAGCAGGUAGAGCCGUGCUCGCUGCCAUCACCUCCAUUGGGAUAUUGCCAAGUGGAUGGGUUGGACAUCUCUGGGCAAAGAAGGCAAUGCACCGAAGCUUUGGGAUGUGUUUGGGCUCUGGGAGCUGAAUGUUCCCAAACUGGGUCUUUGGGUACUUCAAGGAUGGUGGAACGUAUGAUUCCCAGUGAGGAGAUGGGUCCAGCAGCCCUGUUUGCUAACCUGCAAAUGUGUGUCUGCUGUGGAUAAGUGCCAGAUGGGGUGCUCAGGAGUUACAUCUCCACGUGAGGCAUCUUUCUGAAAAUCAAAAUGACGUGGUGCAACAGUGUCACCUUAUUGAUACUCAAUCUCUUGUCUCUCAAGCUGGGGAUAUCUGAGAAGGACAUAACCAGAAACAUGGGUUGGUCUGAUCUGCACUGGUAAAUUAAUUCCUCUGACAUCAUACGCUGUUUCCUUCCAGCCAGCAGAGCUGAUGGAAACUGGAAAAGAGCAUUCCCAGGCGUUGUACAUAACCAGCUCAGGUGCACCUUUUCUCCAUGCAACAUGGGCCAGGGCUGCUUCUUGGUGUUGGGUGUUACAGGGUUACUUCAAUACAUGCAUAAAAGACCUAUUGCAGUGUUACAAUUUCUUAGUCUCAGUGACGAGACUGGGAAAUAAACAACUUUGACGCUCUCCCAGGAGCUUGCAGGUCCCCAUUCCCAGCCUGGAGGUUGCAUCCCACUUGCUGCUCUGAUAAAUAAUUCUGAGUGAAUCCCAUUCCCUCUGGUCUCCCCCAAGCCUCCGUGACACCCUGCUGUGUCUCGAUGAGGACAAAUGCUAGAAGGCCACACAAGGAGCACCCUCAGGUCCCCUUGCCCAGCAUGAGGCUGGUGAGGGGGAGCUCAGGGGCUCUGUAAGCCCUCCCUCCCCCCCGAGCCGGUCGGGAGCGGCUUCCCAGGGAUUUCCACUGGAGGUCAGUGUUGGCCCGAGCACGGGGGCUGUCACUCAGGGCCACCUCGUCCCUGUCCCGGGGUCGGCAUUGAUGGAGCCCCUGGAUGCGUUUGUAGAAGGGUUCUGGGGUGGGACAGCAGCGCCACAUUGGCUGCGGGAUGUGAUCUGGUCAUCGCGUCACACUUGUGGAGAGGCCAAAGUCAGGGUUGUGUGGUGUAUAAGGGAACCUAAAUAUGAGGGGGUAGAGGUGAUGAUUCAACCCCCUCCCCCCAAAGAUACAAUGCUCAGCCAGCCCUUGUUGCCUUACACCAAUUUACUCCAAGCUUUCAUCAGACAACAGAGUCCAUCUCUGCUGGUUGCACCACCACCCAUUGCCCACCACUGGCUGGAUUUAAAGGCUCAGACCUGACCUCUUCCUUUAAGAUGGAGAAAAUUUCGGCCCUCUCCAAGUGAUGUAUUCAUAAGGGAUAAAGCAUUGCAUAAAACAAAGUCAUUAAUGUCUAAAAUGUCCAUUCCUGGAGUUGGCAGUGGACAACUGGCAGCAUCCAGACAGAAUCAGACACUACUGGAGGACCAACAAGUCCUUCACGAAAUGUACUCCUGUUACAAUCCCAGCUAAUGCCCUGUUUGUUUGCACCCAAGUGCUCCCUGGGCUGUUGGGAUUUCUGAAGGGAAAACAACUCCUGGUUCCAAACAUAAGAGACGUAAAUCCACCCCAAUUUUUUAAGGGCUCCUCUGUGAGAAGCCACCUGCGAUGGCCCCAUCACCAAACCAAUCUCUUUGGCACCCUUGAUCCCAAAGGAUCACACUCACUGCACAAUAGCAGAGAGCAAAGAAAGUUUUGCCUCUGGCUUUUUGUGUGUGUUGGAUUGGGGAUGGUUAUGCAUGUCAUUACUUAAUGUUCUCUGAACUCCCUGGAUGUUGUUAAGUAAAGAGCAGAGGAUUUCAAAGGAGACUCGGUUUCACAGCCCACAUCUGAUUGAUAAUUACUCCUAUUUCUUUCAAAUCCCUCUUUUUCAUGAAACACAUAUACUGAAAAGACACUAAAACAGGCGAAGGGCACAGGCAUAAACUUUACAAAGCUUAAAACUACUCUGUCUCAGCACAGCUCAUGCUUUACAUGACACCUUAAUCCUACUCAUUUGCUAGAUUCACCCUAACUGUAAACAAAGCUUUGAAAUGAAAGCUUAAAUCCUAGUUGGGAUACAUUAAGUUAACCAAGAAGACACUCUUAAGGCAUUAGUGCAAUGACAAUCACAAUAUGAGUGCCAGAGGCUUGUGCACGGGGGGAUUAAUAUCUGAAGGGAGAAGAAAAGGGGUCUGGUCUCUAUACUUCGCAGCCUCUUUGGCUAACAGCCUGCAGCGAGGGGGCUGUGUGCUGCUUGUGGGGUGCUGGGGCUGCCUGAAGGGGGCCUCGGGGGACCCACAGCUGGAUGCUGCACCCCAACAUCUGGGUAUCUCAGCAUCUGGGUGCUGCCCCCCAGCAUCUGGACCACGGACCAGUUUGGGAUCAUCCACUCUCCCCAAGCCAUGUCUUUUUGCUACCACCUAUGCAAGGUUCCAGUGGGACUGGGGAAGAGCAGGCUCAGCACAGCACUAGGUUUCCAAGCACCAAGUCUGGAGAACUGCAGCACCACCUGCCCGCCCCACCACCAUUUUUCCUUUGCACGGCACCUGGCUCUGCCCUAGGAACCCCCUUGUGCACUGCCAGCCUGUAGCCCCCAGCCUGGAGAAAAGCAGCUUCUUCUCUCCCCUUCCACACCAACGUCACAUUCAAUUCUUACAACAUGCAUAGGAUAAAUGAAGAGGCACAAGUGAGAGCUCCCACCACGGGGACACAAUCCAGCAGCAGGGAACACUGCCUUACUGCCUGGCUAGGCACUGGGGACAGUCCUAUGAAUAAACAGCACCAGGAUGGGCAGUGAAUGCAUUGGGUUUUAAUUGAUGCUGUGCCAAGGGAGGAAAGGUCUGAUCCGAUUUGGGGUGCUAAACAGGGGUAUCACCUGCAAGGGACUCCUGCUGUGCCAAUGGAAAGGUACACUCUGCAGCUCCCCGGUGAUGAAGAGCUCAACUGCAUUCUUCCCACAGCUCAGCAGCACUUAGCUCCCAUUCACUUUUAUUAAAAAAAAAAAACAAAA
Molecule: long non-coding RNA, 9252 nt
Organism: Tympanuchus pallidicinctus (lesser prairie-chicken)
Lineage: Eukaryota; Metazoa; Chordata; Aves; Galliformes; Phasianidae
Exons: 2
Source: RefSeq, a predicted model, not a curated record